This 441-nucleotide ribosomal RNA is filed under the name uncultured bacterium. RNAcentral describes it as "partial 16S ribosomal RNA". It matches the Rfam family "Bacterial small subunit ribosomal RNA", at positions 338 to 795 of the family's 1533-position model. The record is from RNAcentral.
CCUACGGGAGGCAGCAGUGGGGAAUAUUGCACAAUGGGCGAAACCCUGAUCCAGCGACGCCGCGUGAGUGAAGAAGUCUUUCGGUAUGUAAAGCUCUAUCAGCAGGGAAGCAGAAAGACGGUACCUGACUACGCCGCCCCGGCUAACUACGUGCCAGCAGCCUCGGUAAUACGUAGGGGGCAAGCGGUAUCCGGGUUUACUGGGUGUAAAGGGAGCGUAGACGGCUGUGCAAGUCUGAAGGGAAAGCCCAGGGCUCAACCCCGGGACUGCUUUGGAAACUGUGGAGCUAGAGUGCGGGAGAGGUAAGUGGAAUUCCUAGUGUAGCGGUGAAAUGCGUAGAUAUUAGGAGGAACACCAGUGGCGAAGGCGGCUUACUGGACAGUAACUGACGUUGAGGCUCGAAAGCGUGGGGAGCAAACAGGAUUAGAUACCCGAGUAGUC